RNAcentral lists this ribosomal RNA (706 nucleotides) under uncultured Bacilli bacterium. RNAcentral's name for it is "bacterial SSU rRNA". It matches the Rfam family "Bacterial small subunit ribosomal RNA", at positions 50 to 738 of the family's 1533-position model. The record is from RNAcentral. Lineage: Bacteria; Bacillati; Bacillota; Bacilli.
AAUACAUGCAAGUCGAGCGGACCGACGGGAGCUUGCUCCCUUANGUCAGCGGCGGACGGGUGAGUAACACGUGGGUAACCUGCCUGUAAGACUGGGAUAACUCCGGGAAACCGGGGCUAAUACCGGAUGCUUGAUUGAACCGCAUGGUUCAAUCAUAAAAGGUGGCUUUUAGCUACCACUUGCAGAUGGACCCGCGGCGCAUUAGCUAGUUGGUGAGGUAACGGCUCACCAAGGCGACGAUGCGUAGCCGACCUGAGAGGGUGAUCGGCCACACUGGGACUGAGACACGGCCCAGACUCCUACGGGAGGCAGCAGUAGGGAAUCUUCCGCAAUGGACGAAAGUCUGACGGAGCAACGCCGCGUGAGUGAUGAAGGUUUUCGGAUCGUAAAACUCUGUUGUUAGGGAAGAACAAGUACCGUUCGAAUAGGGCGGUACCUUGACGGUACCUAACCAGAAAGCCACGGCUAACUACGUGCCAGCAGCCGCGGUAAUACGUAGGUGGCAAGCGUUGUCCGGAAUUAUUGGGCGUAAAGCGCGCGCAGGCGGUUUCUUAAGUCUGAUGUGAAAGCCCCCGGCUCAACCGGGGAGGGUCAUUGGAACUGGGGAACUUGAGUGCAGAAGAGGAGAGUGGAAUUCCACGUGUAGCGGUGAAAUGCGUAGAGAUGUGGAGGAACACCAGUGGCGAAGGCGACUCUCUGGUCUGUA